Molecule: ribosomal RNA, 217 nt
Filed under: uncultured bacterium
Lineage: Bacteria
Description: partial 16S ribosomal RNA
Rfam family: Bacterial small subunit ribosomal RNA
Source: RNAcentral
CGGACGGGUGAGUAACGCGUGAGAAUCUGCCUUCUGGUCGGGGACAACCAUUGGAAACGAUGGCUAAUACCGGAUGAGCCUACGGGUAAAAGAUUUAUUGCCAGAAGAGGAGCUCGUGUCUGAUUAGCUAGUUGGUGGGGUAAAAGCUCACCAAGGCAUCGAUCAGUAGCUGGUCUGAGAGGAUGACCAGCCACACUGGGACUGAGACACGGCCCAG